Non-coding RNA from Mycena metata, 96 nucleotides. The record is from the annotation of a GenBank genome assembly. Lineage: Eukaryota; Fungi; Basidiomycota; Agaricomycetes; Agaricales; Mycenaceae.
GACUCCGUAGCAUAUGGUAUGCAUCCGCGCUCUUUGGGAGCCGGAAAAUCGUGUUUCUCGAUGCGGAAGAACCUGGUUCGAUUCCGGGCGGGGUCA